Molecule: long non-coding RNA, 594 nt
Organism: Gasterosteus aculeatus aculeatus (three-spined stickleback)
Lineage: Eukaryota; Metazoa; Chordata; Actinopteri; Perciformes; Gasterosteidae
Source: Ensembl
GCAGGAAGUAAAGUGAACAUAGGACACAAGAGGUAAGAAGUAAAGUGAACAUAGGACACAAGAGGUAGGAAGUAAAGUGAACAUAGGACACAAGAGGCAGGAAGUAAAGUGAACAUAGGACACAAGAGGUAGGAAGUAAAGUGAACAUAGGACACAAGAGGUGGGGAAAACGAAAUAGAUAAAGACAGAGAAUCUUUAAACAUAUGUAUUUAUUUAUUAUAAUUCUGUUAUUUCUGCCUGAUACAAUUAAAUUGUAUUUAUUUUAUUUUUACAGCCCCAAAUCACAAAUUUGCCUCAGGGGGCUUUACAGUCUGUACACAUUUGACGUCCCCUGUCCCGAAACCCUCACAUAUACGCAGGAAAUAUCCUAUAUUAUAGUCACUUUUGCAGGUGAGAUCAACAGCUAACAUUAGCUGCACAAAGAUGUCCAGUUUACUGGUCAAUACUACUGAGACUACUGUGAUACUUGAUACUAUAAAGUAGAUCUUACCAUCCCAGUCCUUCUGGUUUCCUGGUGUAUAUCAUCGUUAUACAUAUUAUACAGAAUCAUCAUUAUGGGUUUACCAUAACCAUAAGUAAACAGCUAAAAAUGUG